CUGUAUUUCAAUAUUUAUUUUCCAUAUCUGCUUCAGGCACCUGGCCCAUCUGUCAAGACUAUACACAAACAUCUCAAGCACAAAAACAGUCUUCCUCUUUGAAAGCUUGCCCAGUCUUCAGAUUGCUCUAUUAGAAAGUUAUUUGUUAGCCAGGUGCAGUGAUGCAUGCCUGUGGUCCCAGCUACUUGGGAGGCUGAGGCAGGUGGA
Molecule: long non-coding RNA, 207 nt
Filed under: Homo sapiens (human)
Lineage: Eukaryota; Metazoa; Chordata; Mammalia; Primates; Hominidae
Description: non-protein coding lnc-GUCA1C-1:1
Source: RNAcentral